This 301-nucleotide ribosomal RNA is filed under the name uncultured bacterium. RNAcentral's name for it is "partial 16S ribosomal RNA". It matches the Rfam family "Bacterial small subunit ribosomal RNA", at positions 509 to 807 of the family's 1533-position model. The record is from RNAcentral.
CAGCAGCCACGGGAAUACGUAGGUGGCAAGCGUUGUCCGGAUUUAUUGGGCGUAAAGCGAGCGCAGGCGGUCAAUUAAGUCUGAUGUGAAAGCCCCCGGCUCAACCGGGGAGGGUCAUUGGAAACUGGUUGACUUGAGUGCAGAAGAGGAGAGUGGAAUUCCAUGUGUAGCGGGGAAAUGCGUAGAGAUGUGGAGGAACACCAGUGGCGAAGGCGACUCUCUGGUCUGUAACUGACGCUGAGGAGCGAAAGCGUGGGGAGCGAACAGGAUUAGAUACCCCUGUAGUCCCUGUCUCUUAUAC